Molecule: ribosomal RNA, 219 nt
Filed under: uncultured vent bacterium
Lineage: Bacteria
Description: partial 16S ribosomal RNA
Rfam family: Bacterial small subunit ribosomal RNA
Source: RNAcentral
UUUUCUAUGGAAAAAAAACAGCUCGUGUCGUGAGAUGUUAGGUUAAGUCCUGCAACGAGCGCAACCCUUAUUAUUAGUGGCUACCAUUAAGUUGAGCACUCUAAUGAGACUGCCUGGGUAACCAGGAGGAAGGUGGGGAUGACGUCAAAUCAUCAUGCCCCUUACGCCCCCCCCCUACACACGUGCUACAAUGACAGUUACAGAGAGACGCAAGGGCCA